AGGGUUUGAUCAUGGCUCAGAAUCAACGCUGGCGGCGUGCCUAACACAUGCAAGUCGAACGCGAAAGGGGCUUCGGCCCUGAGUAGAGUGGCGAACGGGUGAGUAACACGUGGGUGAUCUACCUCUGAGUGGGGGAUAACGUUCCGAAAGGAGCGCUAAUACCGCAUGACGUCCUGGGUUUGAAGACCUGGACACCAAAGUCGGGGACCGCAAGGCCUGACGCUUGGAGAGGAGCCCGCGCCUGAUUAGCUAGUUGGUGAGGUAAUGGCUCACCAAGGCGACGAUCAGUAGCCGGCCUGAGAGGGCGGACGGCCACACUGGGACUGAGACACGGCCCAGACUCCUACGGGAGGCAGCAGUGGGGAAUUGUUCGCAAUGGGCGCAAGCCUGACGACGCAACGCCGCGUGGAGGAUGAAGGUCUUCGGAUUGUAAACUCCUGUUGAUCGGGAAGAAUGGACUCCGGGUUAAUACUCCGGGGUAGUGACGGUACCGAUUGAGGAAGCCACGGCUAACUCUGUGCCAGCAGCCGCGGUAAUACAGAGGUGGCAAGCGUUGUUCGGAAUUACUGGGCGUAAGGGGCGCGUAGGCGGUCGCCUAAGUCGGACGUGAAAUCCCCAAGCUUAACUUGGGAACUGCGUCCGAUACUGGGUGACUUGAGUUCGGGAGAGGAAUGUGGAAUUCCAGGUGUAGCGGUGAAAUGCGUAGAUAUCUGGAGGAACACCGGUGGCGAAGGCGGCAUUCUGGACCGAAACUGACGCUGAGGCGCGAAAGCCAGGGGAGCAAACGGGAUUAGAUACCCCGGUAGUCCUGGCCCUAAACGAUGAGUGCUUGGUGUGGCGGGUAUCGAUCCCUGCCGUGCCGAAGCUAACGCAUUAAGCACUCCGCCUGGGGAGUACGGUCG
This 902-nucleotide ribosomal RNA is filed under the name uncultured Acidobacteriota bacterium. RNAcentral describes it as "bacterial SSU rRNA". It matches the Rfam family "Bacterial small subunit ribosomal RNA", at positions 8 to 888 of the family's 1533-position model. Lineage: Bacteria; Pseudomonadati; Acidobacteriota. The record is from RNAcentral.